UGCACAGAAAUAAUAAAGGAAAUCUUUGCCUUGAACUCUGCCACUUUAUAAACAGACACACAAAGAUGUUCAUUAAUUUAGGUGAGCCAGAGGAUUAAAGAAUUGUUUUAGUUUGCUUGUAUCACUGCUUUAUUGUUCUCUUAUCUAUUUCAGUUUUAGUAAAGAUUAAGGGAAAGCAGACCUGAAUUAAAACAUUUAACAGAACAAAGGACUUGAGACAGAAGAAUUCCCCAGAUGUCUGGCUUAGUUCAAUGAUUUAUUGCUCUGAUCCCUAUUUGAAUGGACAGG
This 288-nucleotide long non-coding RNA is filed under the name Dromaius novaehollandiae (emu). Its description in RNAcentral is "lncRNA (ENSDNVG00000000793.1)". The record is from RNAcentral. Lineage: Eukaryota; Metazoa; Chordata; Aves; Casuariiformes; Dromaiidae.